RNAcentral lists this ribosomal RNA (253 nucleotides) under uncultured bacterium. Its description in RNAcentral is "partial 16S ribosomal RNA". It matches the Rfam family "Bacterial small subunit ribosomal RNA", at positions 524 to 776 of the family's 1533-position model. The record is from RNAcentral.
UACAGAGGGUGCAAGCGUUAAUCGGAAUUACUGGGCAUAAAGCGUGCGUAGACGGUAGCGUAAGUCGGGUGUGAAAGCCCCGGGCUCAACCUGGGAAUUGCAUUCGAGACUGCUCUGCUAGGGUGCGGAAGAGGGGAGCGGAAUUUCCGGUGUAGCGGUGAAAUGCGUAGAUAUCGGAAGGAACACCAGUGGCGAAAGCGGCUCCCUGGUCCAGCACCGACGUUCAGGCACGAAAGCGUGGGGAGCAAACAGG